AGUGAACGCUGGCGGUAGGCCUAACACAUGCAAGUCGAACGGCAGCACAGUAAGAGCUUGCUCUUACGGGUGGCGAGUGGCGGACGGGUGAGGAAUACAUCGGAAUCUACUUUUUCGUGGGGGACAACGUAGGGAAACUUACGCUAAUACCGCAUACGACCUACGGGUGAAAGCAGGGGAUCUUCGGACCUUGCGCGAUUGAAUGAGCCGAUGUCGGAUUAGCUAGUUGGCGGGGUAAAGGCCCACCAAGGCGACGAUCCGUAGCUGGUCUGAGAGGAUGAUCAGCCACACUGGAACUGAGACACGGUCCAGACUCCUACGGGAGGCAGCAGUGGGGAAUAUUGGACAAAGGGCGCAAGCCUGAUCCAGCCAUACCGCGUGGGUGAAGAAGGCCUUCGGGUUGUAAAGCCCUUUUGUUGGGAAAGAAAAGCAGCAGGCUAAUACCCCGCUGUUCUGACGGUACCCAAAGAAUAAGCACCGGCUAACUUCGCG
This 492-nucleotide ribosomal RNA is filed under the name uncultured bacterium. Its description in RNAcentral is "partial 16S ribosomal RNA". It matches the Rfam family "Bacterial small subunit ribosomal RNA", at positions 29 to 507 of the family's 1533-position model. The record is from RNAcentral.